Molecule: ribosomal RNA, 344 nt
Filed under: uncultured eukaryote
Lineage: Eukaryota
Description: partial 18S ribosomal RNA
Rfam family: Eukaryotic small subunit ribosomal RNA
Source: RNAcentral
CAAUGGCGUCUUGUAAAGUUGUUGCAGGUAAAAAAUUCGUAGUUGGAUUUCUGUUGCUGAAGAACCUAUCUGCACUUGACUGCACGGCGCCGUAUUUGGGAUAUUUACCUUGAGGAAAGUAGCGUGUUGUUUCAAGCAAACGCGCCUUUUGACUUGAGUACAUUAGCAUGGAAUAACACGACCGGGCCUCAGUUCUAUUUUGAUUAUUUUGUCGGUUUCUAGAGCUGGGGUAAUGAUUGAUAAGGAUAGCUGGGGGCAUUCGUAUUCAAAAGUCAGAAAUGAAAUUCUUGGAAGUGAAGGACGGACGGUACUGCGAAGGCAUUUGCCAAGGAUGCUUUCAUUGA